Molecule: ribosomal RNA, 483 nt
Filed under: uncultured bacterium
Lineage: Bacteria
Description: partial 16S ribosomal RNA
Rfam family: Bacterial small subunit ribosomal RNA
Source: RNAcentral
AUUGAACGCUGGCGGCAGGCCUAACACAUGCAAGUCGAGCGGAUGAAGGGAGCUUGCUCCUGUAUUCAGCGGCGGACGGGUGAGUAAUGCCUAGGAAUCUGCCUGGUAUUGGGGGAUAACGUCCGUAAACGGGCGCUAAUACCGCAUACGUCCUUAGGGAGAAAGUCGGGGAUCUUCGGACCUCGCGCUAUCAGCUGAGCCUAGUUCGGAUUGGCUAGUGGGUUGGGUAAAGGCCUACCAUGGCGACGAUCCGUAACUGGUCUGAGAGGAUGAUCAGUCACACUGGAACGGAGAAAGGGUCAAAACUCCUACGGAAGGCAGCAGUGGGGAAUAUUGGAAAAUGGGGGAAGGCCGGAGCAAGAAAGGCCGCGUGGGUGAAGAAGGUCUUCGGAUGGUAAAGCACUUUAAGAGGGAAGAAAGAACAGGAAGGUAAUAACGUGCUGUUUUGAGGUUACCAACAGAAUAAGCACGGGUUAACAUCGU